This 24-nucleotide non-coding RNA is filed under the name Arabidopsis thaliana (thale cress). The record is from RNAcentral. Lineage: Eukaryota; Viridiplantae; Streptophyta; Magnoliopsida; Brassicales; Brassicaceae.
AAUGCUUUGGCAUCGGUGCUUUGG